UUUUGGACAAUGGGCGAAAGCCUGAUCCAGCAAUGCCGCGUGCAGGAAGAAGGCCUUCGGGUUGUAAACUGCUUUUGUACGGAACGAAACGGUCUGCCCUAAUACGGCGGGCUAAUGACGGUACCGUAAGAAUAAGCACCGGCUAACUACGUGCCAGCAGCCGCGGUAAUACGUAGGGUGCGAGCGUUAAUCGGAAUUACUGGGCGUAAAGCGUGCGCAGGCGGUUAUGUAAGACAGUUGUGAAAUCCCCGGGCUCAACCUGGGAAUUGCAUCGGUGACUGCAUAGCUAGAGUACGGUAGAGGGGGAUGGAAUUCCGCGUGUAGCAGUGAAAUGCGUAGAUAUGCGGAGGAACACCGAUGGCGAAGGCAAUCCCCUGGACCUGUACUGACGCUCAUGCACGAAA
This 404-nucleotide ribosomal RNA is filed under the name uncultured bacterium. RNAcentral describes it as "bacterial SSU rRNA". It matches the Rfam family "Bacterial small subunit ribosomal RNA", at positions 362 to 758 of the family's 1533-position model. The record is from RNAcentral.